GGCAAGAUGGCCGAGUGGUCUAAGGCGCUGUGUUCAGGAGGUUCAUCUUAUCGCAGUCUUCGGGCGUGGGUUCGAAUCCCACUCUUGUCA
The sequence is a transfer RNA, 90 nucleotides long. It matches the Rfam family "tRNA". Rfam says of the family: Transfer RNA (tRNA) molecules are approximately 80 nucleotides in length. The record is from Rfam.